GACGAACGCUGGCGGCGUGCUUAACACAUGCAAGUCGAACGGAAAGGCCCUGCUUUUGUGGGGUGCUCGAGUGGCGAACGGGUGAGUAACACGUGAGUAACCUGCCCUUGACUUUGGGAUAACUUCAGGAAACUGGGGCUAAUACCGGAUAGGAGCUCCUGCUGCAUGGUGGGGGUUGGAAAGUUUCGGCGGUUGGGGAUGGACUCGCGGCUUAUCAGCUUGUUGGUGGGGUAGUGGCUUACCAAGGCUUUGACGGGUAGCCGGCCUGAGAGGGUGACCGGCCACAUUGGGCCUGAGAUACGGCCCAGACUGCUACGGGAGGCAGCAGUGGGGAAUAUUGCACAAUGGGCGGAAGCCUGAUGCAGCAACGCCGCGUGCGGGAUGACGGCCUUCGGGUUGUAAACCGCUUUCGCCUGUGACGAAGAGUGAGUGACGGUAAUGGGUAAAGAAGCACCGGCUAACUACGUG
Molecule: ribosomal RNA, 468 nt
Filed under: uncultured bacterium
Lineage: Bacteria
Description: partial 16S ribosomal RNA
Rfam family: Bacterial small subunit ribosomal RNA
Source: RNAcentral